Molecule: non-coding RNA, 84 nt
Organism: Mytilinidion resinicola
Lineage: Eukaryota; Fungi; Ascomycota; Dothideomycetes; Mytilinidiales; Mytilinidiaceae
Source: the annotation of a RefSeq genome assembly
UCCGGUAUGGUUUAGUGGCAGAAUUCCCUGCCCUUACAAUAAUAGGUAACUGGGGAGACCCAAGUUCGAUUCUUGGCGCUAGAC